Molecule: microRNA, 22 nt
Filed under: Apis mellifera (honey bee)
Lineage: Eukaryota; Metazoa; Arthropoda; Insecta; Hymenoptera; Apidae
Description: ame-miR-3721-3p
Source: miRBase by way of RNAcentral
UCGUUGAAAAAGAGGAGAAGAU